Long non-coding RNA from Papaver somniferum (opium poppy), 1410 nucleotides. RefSeq lists it as uncharacterized. NCBI's taxonomy places the organism in Eukaryota, Viridiplantae, Streptophyta, Magnoliopsida, Ranunculales, Papaveraceae. The transcript has 2 exons. The record is from RefSeq and is a predicted model, not a curated record.
UUUUCUCUCUUUCUUCUUCUUCUUCUUUUCUACGGCGAUUCAGAGAUGAAAUCUCUGUUAAGAAACUUCACUAAAAUUUAGUAAAACUAAUCAAUCGAGUGUGGUGUUGAUGAGUUAAUAGUUUGGGUUUGGUUAGAAACAUCGAUUGAGUUAAGGAGAAGUGAUUCUGUGAAGAAAUUAGGGUUCAUGAAAACAAUUUCGGGAUUCAAUUAAGGGUGAAGAAGAAAGAAUCAAAGGAUGGGUUUGAUAAAUUGGAAGGUUUGGUUGAUAUUUUGAGGUUGAAUUAGAUAAUAGAAUCUCUGAGACUUGAAUUAGGUUUUGAGUUGGAAAUUCAGAUGAAGAACUAGAAGAUGAAUUUGAAGGUUUCAGUGACGAACUAAAGAUAGGUUUUGAUUGAAUUGAAGUUUUGAAGUUAAUUCAGUGAUGAAUCGGUGAAUCAGGGUUGGUGUUCUGUUCUUCCCCAAUUUAUGAGUUUGGGUUGAUGAUGAAGUAAUUGAGUGAAAUAACAAGAGAUGAAAGGUUGGGUUUUACUGAUAUGAUGUGAAGAUGAAGGUUAUGAAGCUGAUGAAGAACUAGGGUUUGGUUCUGCCAUUAAGAAGGUAAUUGUUCUGUGGGUAAAUCUGUUCAAUUUCAUUAUUAAGUUUAUAAGUUUCUUAAUGAAUUAUGAAUUAAAAUGGUUAUGAGAUAGAUAUGUAGUUGAGCUAACCUUGUGAUUUCAAAUGAAUUGUUGAGUUUAAUUAAAGUGAAUGUGUAGUUGUUAUUUGGUUAAUACGAAUAUGGUAGUGAAAAUUGGUUAAUAAUAAGAGUUGUAGUUGGUUUGGUGAAUCUAAUGCUGCUGUUGAAGCUGAGUUGAGAAAUUGUAUUGCUGCUGGUGUUGAAGCCUUUGUUCCGAUAUACUGAAUUGAACUUCAAAUGAUGGAGAUGCUAUGAUUUGCUAGAUCUAAAGUUCUUAAAAUGUUUCCUUGUGGCUGUGUGUUAAGGAAUACAAGUUUGGAUGGAGGCUGAGUAUGGCUUAGAGAUUGCAGGGCUUGAGUUACAAUUGCAGGACUAGUGAUAUCAACGACGCAGAUGCAGGGUGAAUUUAAUUGUGUAAGUGAGAUGGUGUUGGUGUUUUGGUAUUUGAGUGCGUGGCUCGGAGGUGGUAAUAGCAGGUUGUGCUGAUGGUUUGUAGUAGCAUUUGAAAUGGAGACGAGUUUUGGUAAUGGUGGUUGUUGGGGGUAAUAACUUCAAUAGAGGCUUGCAACUACAAUUGCAGGUGAAGUGAGACGGAAAAAGAGUAGUUGUAAUGUUGUGUUGAGAGUAAUUGUGAAAGCCUGUAGUUGCAGAUCAGGUAAACUUAGUUUAGUGUUGUAAUUGAAUUCUGAAGACUGAUGUAUUGUGUAAUUUGAAGUUGAACUUGGAUUAGAGUUA